GACGAACGCUGGCGGCGUGCCUAAUACAUGCAAGUCGAGCGGGGCUGAAUUCAAAGAUUCCUUCGGGAUGAUUUGUUGGACGCUAGCGGCGGAUGGGUGAGUAACACGUGGGCAAUCUGCCCUAAAGACUGGGAUACCACUUGGAAACAGGUGCUAAUACCGGAUAACAACAUGAAUCGCAUGAUUUCAAGUUUGAAAGGCGGCGUAAGCUGUCGCUUUAGGAUGAGCCCGCGGCGCAUUAGCUAGUGGUGGGUAAGGCCUACAAGGCAAUGAUGCGUAGCCGAGUUGAGAGACUGAUCGGGCCACAUUGGGACUGAGACACGGCCCAAACUCCUACGGGAGGCAGCAGUAGGGAAUCUUCCACAAUGGGACGCAAGUCUGAUGGAGCAACGCCGCGUGAGUGAAGAAGGGUUUUCGGGAUCGUAAAGCUCUGUUGUUGGUGAAGAAGGAUAGGGAGC
Molecule: ribosomal RNA, 458 nt
Filed under: uncultured bacterium
Lineage: Bacteria
Description: bacterial SSU rRNA
Rfam family: Bacterial small subunit ribosomal RNA
Source: RNAcentral